This is a long non-coding RNA of Neofelis nebulosa (Clouded leopard), 685 nucleotides long. RefSeq lists it as uncharacterized. NCBI's taxonomy places the organism in Eukaryota, Metazoa, Chordata, Mammalia, Carnivora, Felidae. The transcript has 5 exons. The record is from RefSeq and is a predicted model, not a curated record.
UCCAAGAUCAAGAUGCUGGUGGACUUAAGUGUCUGGUGAGAACCCUGUUCCUCAUUGUGGAUGGCCACCUCUUGCUAUGUCCUCACAUAGCAGAGAGGGGCUCUGGUCUUUUUCCUCUUCUUACAAAGGUGUAUCUGUUUCCCCACUUCAGGGUCCAGGCUUCAGUUAUAAUUAUAUUCUCAUGUGCUCCCUACCACUGUGGAGGAACCCCUCUUCCUGCCGACUCUGCAGAGCCUUCUGUCUUUUGUAGCGGCUGCAGUAGAAGGCAGGGAAGUGCCCUUUCCUGGACUGAGCAGAGGAUCCUGUUCUACUGUCUUCUGGUACCUAAAUGGUGACUGUGUCUGGUAUAUCAGAGAUGCAUGUGCAUGACUGAGAGCUGAAUCUUGCUGGAAAUUGUGGCUAUAAUUUAACAUGUAAGACCUUCUACAGGGAAGAUAAUGGAGAAAAAUUUCUCUAUCAGCUGAGACAGCCUGGCAAGGGCACUUUGACAGGCAUUACAGAUGAUAUCACAGUGAAUGACACACACAAACACUUCUCUUGAGAAGCCUGGAGGGAAAAACACAGAUGCAACUAACAAUGGAGAAAACAUGGGAGCUACAGGAAAGGUUCAAAACAACACGUGGGACUUGUGGCUGCCGCUGUUUUAGUUGUAAGAAGCUUAGGACUCAAUGCCCAAGAACCAUAU